Gouania willdenowi (blunt-snouted clingfish) is the source of this 118-nucleotide ribosomal RNA. The record is from Ensembl. NCBI's taxonomy places the organism in Eukaryota, Metazoa, Chordata, Actinopteri, Blenniiformes, Gobiesocidae.
CCACGUGGCCAUACCAGCCUGUUAUUGCCCGAUCUCGUAAGAUCUUGGAAGCUAAACAGGUCUGGGUCUGAUUAGUAAUUGGGUGGGAGACCACUGAGAAUUCCAGGUGCCACAUUGG